Boleophthalmus pectinirostris (great blue-spotted mudskipper) is the source of this 154-nucleotide long non-coding RNA. RefSeq lists it as uncharacterized. The transcript has 3 exons. The record is from RefSeq and is a predicted model, not a curated record. Lineage: Eukaryota; Metazoa; Chordata; Actinopteri; Gobiiformes; Gobiidae.
GAAGAGGAGGAGGAGUCUGGAGUCUCUGUGGAGCCUGAGCCGAGCUGCUCCUGCCCCAUAAAGACAGAAGAAGAAGAAAAACCAGAGAUUAAACCAGAGACGAUGCGUCGGGUGUCGGCCGUGCGCUCCAAGAGGAAAGAACGAGACGUGACGA